CAGAAAGGGAAAAUUAAGAGAGGUCACUCACUGUCGUCCACCAGUUUUGUCUUGCUUACAAGUCUUUAGAUGAUUAAAGCAGUAGAAAGAGGUCUCAUCUGGAUCCCCCUCACCACUUGCUUAUUAAAAGUGCCUUCUGCCUAGAGACUAUAAAUAUGGAUGCAUGUCUGGGGAUGUCUUGAGCCUAGGCUGCAGGAGUUCCAGCCUAUGAAAGUUGGUGAAUCGCUUCAGUCCCUUUCAUUUGAAGUCACUUCCUAGGUCUAUAUGUCAAGCAUUCCAUACAGAGCAGGAGGAAUGAGCUAGAGUAAAACUGACAGGGAUACACCUUCCUCGGCAGCCGAUACUGCUGAAGACCUUCAUCCUUCAUCUUAAGUUGGUUUGGAGCACAGCUUAAGACUAAACUCAAUUCUGGAAGAAGACUUCUAGCACAGGA
This 433-nucleotide long non-coding RNA is filed under the name Mus spicilegus (steppe mouse). RNAcentral describes it as "lncRNA (ENSMSIG00000001245.1)". The record is from RNAcentral. Lineage: Eukaryota; Metazoa; Chordata; Mammalia; Rodentia; Muridae.